Molecule: ribosomal RNA, 567 nt
Filed under: uncultured bacterium
Lineage: Bacteria
Description: partial 16S ribosomal RNA
Rfam family: Bacterial small subunit ribosomal RNA
Source: RNAcentral
UGGGGAAUUUUGGACAAUGGGGGAAACCCUGAUCCAGCCAUCCCGCGUGUGCGAUGAAGGCCUUCGGGUUGUAAAGCACUUUUGGCAGGAAAGAAACGUCGCGGGUUAAUACCCCGCGAAACUGACGGUACCUGCAGAAUAAGCACCGGCUAACUACGUGCCAGCAGCCGCGGUAAUACGUAGGGUGCAAGCGUUAAUCGGAAUUACUGGGCGUAAAGCGUGCGCAGGCGGUUCGGAAAGAAAGAUGUGGAAUCCCAGAGCUUAACUUUGGGAACUGCAUUUUUAACUACCGGGCUAGAGUGUGUCAGAGGGAGGUGGAAUUCCGCGUGUAGCAGUGAAAUGCGUAGAUAUGCGGAGGAACACCGAUGGCGAAGGCAGCCUCCUGGGAUAACACUGACGCUCAUGCACGAAAGCGUGGGGAGCAAACAGGAUUAGAUACCCUGGUAGUCCACGCCCUAAACGAUGUCAACUAGCUGUUGGGGCCUUCGGGCCUUGGUAGCGCAGCUAACGCGUGAAGUUGACCGCCUGGGGAGUACGGUCGCAAGAUUAAAACUCAAAGGAAUUGAC